AAUGCUUUUACUUGUGUUUGCCGUGCAUAGUCUCUUACAGCUAACACUGGUCAGGUGAACCGUUUCCUCCAGGAUCACAGGUGUAAGGGGCGUGGCCCUGAGAACAAAGGGAAGAUACUUGUUUGGAGUGGGGGGGAAGGAAAACGCUUUUGGAAGUAGACGGAGAAGUUAUGUAGCCUUCAGUUGAGAAGGGGAAAAACUUUUUCGGUCCUUUUGAAAUUUGGACCUCGUCCAUAAUGUAACGAGAUUUAAGCAAGGAAUUCAGUCUGAUUUGAGGACAAUAACUAUAAAGCAGAGGACUGCAAAUCAAACCAAGGCCAGAUUACCAAUUCCGCAUCUGAGUUGGAAAGUGGAGCCCAUCUCACAGUACAGCUCAUACUGCUCCUGCAGGGAGGAAGAGGAGACACAGGUUGUUUAUAUGAUAGGAUCAUAGUUGAAAAGUUACGAGUCAAGUCCUAGAGGGUUUUAUUUAGUCAUUGCCAUUGGUCUACAGUGUAUAUUGUAGUAUAACAUGGGGGCACUGAUUGGCCUUAUGCUUCUUUUGCAGUGUGACUACUAGAGUUGUGU
This is a long non-coding RNA of Etheostoma cragini (Arkansas darter), 567 nucleotides long. RefSeq lists it as uncharacterized. NCBI's taxonomy places the organism in Eukaryota, Metazoa, Chordata, Actinopteri, Perciformes, Percidae. The record is from RefSeq and is a predicted model, not a curated record. The transcript is spliced from 2 exons.